AAAGGCGCUUUCGGGUGUCGCUGAUGGAUGGACCCGCGGUGCAUUAGCUAGUUGGUGAGGUAACGGCUCACCAAGGCCACGAUGCAUAGCCGACCUGAGAGGGUGAUCGGCCACAUUGGGACUGAGACACGGCCCAAACUCCUACGGGAGGCAGCAGUAGGGAAUCUUCGGCAAUGGACGAAAGUCUGACCGAGCAACGCCGCGUGAGUGAAGAAGGUUUUCGGAUCGUAAAACUCUGUUGUUAGAGAAGAACAAGGAUGAGAGUAACUGUUCAUCCCUUGACGGUAUCUAACCAGAAAGCCACGGCUAACUACGUGCCAGCAGCCGCGGUAAUACGUAGGUGGCAAGCGUUGUCCGGAUUUAUUGGGCGUAAAGCGAGCGCAGGCGGUUUCUUAAGUCUGAUGUGAAAGCCCCCGGCUCAACCGGGGAGGGUCAUUGGAAACUGGGAGACUUGAGUGCAGAAGAGGAGAGUGGAAUUCCAUGUGUAGCGGUGAAAUGCGUAGAUAUAUGGAGGAACACCAGUGGCGAAGGCGGCUCUCUGGUCUGUAACUGACGCUGAGGCUCGAAAGCGUGGGGAGCAAACAGGAUUAGAUACCCUGGUAGUCCACGCCGUAAACGAUGAG
RNAcentral lists this ribosomal RNA (623 nucleotides) under Enterococcus faecium. RNAcentral describes it as "bacterial SSU rRNA". It matches the Rfam family "Bacterial small subunit ribosomal RNA", at positions 202 to 813 of the family's 1533-position model. Lineage: Bacteria; Bacillati; Bacillota; Bacilli; Lactobacillales; Enterococcaceae. The record is from RNAcentral.